ACGCACGCUGGCGGCGUGCUUAACACCUGCCAGUCGAACGAAGAGCGAUGGAAGCUUGCUUCUAUCAAUCUUAGUGGCGAACGGGUGAGUAACGCGUAAUCAACCUGCCCUUCAGAGGGGGACAACAGUUGGAAACGACUGCUAAUACCGCAUACGAUCUGACCUCGGCAUCGAGGAUAGAUGAAAGGUGGCCUCUACAUGUAAGCUAUCACUGAAGGAGGGGAUUGCGUCUGAUUAGCUAGUUGGAGGGGUAACGGCCCACCAAGGCGAUGAUCAGUAGCCGGUCUGAGAGGAUGAACGGCCACAUUGGGACUGAGACACGGCCCAGACUCCUACGGGAGGCAGCAGUGGGGAAUCUUCCGCAAUGGACGAAAGUCUGACGGAGCAACGCCGCGUGAGUGAUGACGGCCUUCGGGUUGUAAAGCUCUGUUAAUCGGGACGAAAGGCCUUUUUGCGAAUAGGGAGAAGGAUUGACGGUACCGGAAUAGAAAGCCACGGCUAACUACGUG
RNAcentral lists this ribosomal RNA (509 nucleotides) under uncultured bacterium. Its description in RNAcentral is "partial 16S ribosomal RNA". It matches the Rfam family "Bacterial small subunit ribosomal RNA", at positions 29 to 507 of the family's 1533-position model. The record is from RNAcentral.